This is a long non-coding RNA of Equus asinus (donkey), 2849 nucleotides long. Lineage: Eukaryota; Metazoa; Chordata; Mammalia; Perissodactyla; Equidae. The record is from Ensembl.
UUUUGUUUCCUGUCUUUUAAAAUAGCAUCCUAUUUUUGUUUCAUGGGUGUAAUAUCCUCUCUUAUUCUUGAGAAUAAGUCUUGCUUUCUUCCAAUUUGCUUCUUUCUGUUUAUUUUUAUUGUUAGUUUGCUUGUGUGCUUUGAUUUGUUUUCAUUAUUUGUUCUCUGUCUUCCAUGUUAGCAGUUUUCCUCAGAUAUCUGGUAUUCUGUGGCAAAUGUUACUAGUGUCCUGCCCAUACUCUCAGCUCCUGUGAAUGUUCAUUGUUAAUGGAUCAGAGCUGCCCUCUUUCUCUAGACAAUUGACCUCAGCCAGGAGCUGUCUUGCCAGGAGGUUAAGGUCUCCUCUCUGGCAGCCCACAGUCAACAAUUGAUUAGUAUGUGGAUACAAACCAGCCCUCUUGCUUCAAGUUGAGAUCAACUCUAUGAUGCAGUUCACACUCCCAGGUUCCCUAUGGGAUCAGACUGAGGCUAGACUUCAGCUGAGACCACAUCCUUACUCAGCUCCUUCCCCUGCUGCUUCUGCAGGAGGUGAGAUGUGGGGAGUGGGGGAGGCUUUUCCUGAGAGCCCACUCUCAAUAAAUCACAUGCACUGGAAUUCCCAUCUCAGCUUCUGUUUCUAGGGAACCUAAGACGUGACCUUUGGCUGUCUGCUCUUAGAGUAAAGGCCUGAAAAGCUUCUUGAAAGCCCUGAGUGCAAGAGUUGGGCUUGUCAACUCAGAGACUCACUGUUGGGAGACGGAGGUGAUCAUUUGUUGGAAACUCCAAUGCCAGCAUUCUGAGUUCUUUCCUUUUUGGCUGGUCAGAAAUCCCAGAAAAGGGGGGUGGAGCGUGGCUGCCAGUGAUUUGGGAAGUGAGCAGAAAAGAAAGCCGAUGAUCUCAGCCUGCAGUGAGUAAAUAUUCACUUAAUGCUCCUGUUGUUCACAUGAAACCUUUGUUCUCAGCCGUGCCUGGUGCCCACACUUCAGAGACCCUCUGUUUAACCCUCUCCAGAGACUGAAUCUUCAGUCCUCUGCCUGCUUGGAGAGGGCCCUGCAGCGUGGAGGGUAGGAGAGGGGAACUAGGACUUUAACUUUUUCCCAGUCACCUUUCACCCAGUUCUCCUGAUUUUGGCUUGCUCCAUUCCAGAGCUAUCUGACUGCCAAUUCCUUUUUUUUUUUUUUAGGAUUUUGCCAUGAAAAUAGGGCUGUUCUUAGCUUUCCCUGGGUUUCAGCUUUCUUGGGGCUGCUAAGUCAAUUACCACUCAUCCAUCUGUCUUCUAGCUUCCAAAAUUCUUUUUGCUAAUGUCUCUUCUUCUGUCGUUUCUGCCCUCAUGAGUUUGUGUCUUUUUAGAAAACAACUCCUUUAUAGUUGUUUUCAUGGGUUUCAGGAGGGAGAAAGAGGAAAUGUGGGAGCAAAAGGAAACCAUCUUAACCUAGGGGAAAAAAAACCUCUGGUGAUAUUAAGACAUUUCCUCUCAGCAUGCCCCUCCUGUGAGUCCCUGUGGAUGACAGACAGGCAAGCGAGAACUCCAGGGAAGGGAGCCAGAGGCCUGUGAUGGAAGCUGUGUCUCCCCUACAGAGUUCAAGCUUCUUCCCCGAGUCACGGCCUUCACCUGCCUCCGAGGGUAUAAAGGGCUGAGUCCUGAUUACGAUCAAGUGGGUUAGAACAGCGGAAAGCCAAGAUAAAUCAGGGAAGCCUGUCUAGCGCAGGUGCCGCAAGUAGCAGGAGAAGCAAAAGAUACUGAGUCUCAUCUUUCUAAUGAGAGAGCUCACCCUUCUAGCUCUGCUUGUAUGACUCUCUGACACCAGAAGUCAUUCCAGAAAGCCUGCCUACUUCCUUGCCCUCGCCCUCUUUCCUGUCCCUUGCUUUGGGAUGAGGUGAAGGUGGUUGAGAGCUGUUUAGGUAGAUUGGAUAGGUUGAAAUGGGGGAAGAAGUAAACCACCAUAGUUCCUUUUUCCUAGAACGGGUUGUGGGCAAAGAUAUCAGCCCGCUUCACUUCCUCUUUCAAGCUCAGACCUAAGAACCCAGCAAAGAGAAAAGGCCGCAACACAGUUGGGUGGGAGAACUCAGGAGGGGCAGGAAUUGUGGUGUUGGGGUAUUCUAAUGGGUAGUAGUGGUAAAGACAGGAGGACCUGAGCUACGCAGCUGGCUUUGCUGCACAGACAUAACUUGAAAGUUCCCUGAUGGUCACCUGUAAGCAACAGGGGGGUGGAAGUCAGUGGAUAAAUACUCCAGCCUCCUCAUCAUUUGGGAGGACAGUGUUGAGGCUGUUCCACAAAGUUUCUCAGUGGGUUCCCAGCAGCAUGGAGCCCCAGUUGCCCAUGGCAGUUACGAGUCCUUCAACACAUAAGAUGGAGGAGUCUUAAAGGACUUCUGACCAUAUGGGUAGGUGCAGAGUUUUCUGAGAAAUGGAUUGGAGAUGAGGAAAAUGCUUUUUCUUUUUUUUUUAAGGAAGAUUAGCCCUGAGCUAACUGCUGCCAAUCCUCCUCUUUUCGCUAAGGAAGACUGGCCCUGAUCUAACAUCCAUGCCCAUUUUCCUCUACUUUAUAUGUGGGACGCCUACCACAGCAUGGCUUGCCAAGCGUCGCCAUGUCCGCACCUGGGAUCCGGACCGGCAAACCUUGGGCCAGUGAAGCGGAACGUGCGCACUUCACCGUUGCGCCACUGGGCCGGCCCCAGAAAAUACUUUAAAGAAACUAGAAUGUAAGAAGAUGAGAAGGACUGGGUGUAGGGGAGAUAGACAGAAAGAGGGACAUCCUCAGAACCCUUAAACAGUGAAGUCUUUUCCCACCCUUCCCCCCAUCAUAUGGAAUAAGGGAACAUGUUAGCUGAGAAAGUCACUACUUCAAGUUCCAGAUGCCUGCUGUUUUG